CCUACGGUAGGCAGCAGUGAGGAAUAUUGGUCAAUGGCCGGAAGGCUGAACCAGCCAUGUCGCGUGAAGGUCAGUGCCCUAUGGGCGUUAAACCUCCUUUGUUCGGGAGCAAUAAUGGUCACGUUUGGCCAGACUAGAGUACCGUACGAAUAAGCAUCGGCUAACUCCGUGCCAGCAGCCGCGGUAAUACGGGGGAUGCAAGCGUUAUCCGGAUUUAUUGGGUUUAAAGGGUGCGUAGGCUGUGAGGUAAGUCAGCGGUGAAAUGCCCCCGCUCAACGGGGUGAAGUGCCAUUGAUACUGCCUUGCUGGAAUGCGGAUGCCGUGGGAGGAAUGUGUGGUGUAGCGGUGAAAUGCAUAGAUAUCACACAGAACACCGAUUGCGAAGGCAUCUCACGAAUCCGCGAUUGACGCUGAUGCACGAAAGCGUGGGUAUCAAACAGGAUUAGAUACCCCGGUAGUC
This 460-nucleotide ribosomal RNA is filed under the name uncultured bacterium. RNAcentral describes it as "partial 16S ribosomal RNA". It matches the Rfam family "Bacterial small subunit ribosomal RNA", at positions 338 to 795 of the family's 1533-position model. The record is from RNAcentral.